UCGUAUGCUUGUCUCGAUGAUUAAGCCAUGCAAGUGCAAGUGUAGGAGCCCGGCUCCCCCAUGGGUGUACGAGAAACAAAUAUACCGCAGACGGCUCAGUAGAACGGACGCAAUACAGUCGUGCACGACGCAGUGCAGUUGGAUAACUCUGGAAACUCUAGAGCUAAUACAUGGUGGUGCGAGCCGCCGCCUGCCCCAUCCUCGGAUGUCGGCGGAGGUGGUGUGCUUGUCAUUUCGUGGAAGGAGAAAGGUGGAUUUCCAGAGCAAGAGACGGAUUGCCCCCGCCAGUGGGGCGACGUGCACGGACGGCGUCCGACCUAUUACUACUGUUCAGUGGGGCCUGGGCCCAGGGCGGUAGUAAUGGGUGACGGGGAAUCAGGGUUCGAUUCCGGAGAGGGAGCCU
This 403-nucleotide ribosomal RNA is filed under the name Speleonectes gironensis. RNAcentral describes it as "bacterial SSU rRNA". It matches the Rfam family "Eukaryotic small subunit ribosomal RNA", at positions 24 to 397 of the family's 1831-position model. Lineage: Eukaryota; Metazoa; Arthropoda; Remipedia; Nectiopoda; Speleonectidae. The record is from RNAcentral.